Long non-coding RNA from Stylophora pistillata, 277 nucleotides. Lineage: Eukaryota; Metazoa; Cnidaria; Anthozoa; Scleractinia; Pocilloporidae. The record is from RefSeq and is a predicted model, not a curated record.
CGAGUCAGACGCAUUGUCCGGAAGAAAGGAAGUGACUUUCUGUUUAAUGACAGUGACGGGGAGAGCUUUAUCAAGAUUCCUUCAGCUAAUCUACAUCCGAACGGAUCAGUAGUACUUGGGAUUGCAUACAAAAGCCUUCACCAACUUUUUCCAGGCUACGUAACUGACCCAGGGGGAACCAACAAAAAAAGGAUCCUGGACAGCGUAAUUUUAUCCGCAGUAGUGGAUCCUCCGCUAGAAAAGUUACGAGAGAACGUCACCUUGGUUUUUAAAAACA